RNAcentral lists this ribosomal RNA (497 nucleotides) under uncultured bacterium. Its description in RNAcentral is "partial 16S ribosomal RNA". It matches the Rfam family "Bacterial small subunit ribosomal RNA", at positions 28 to 507 of the family's 1533-position model. The record is from RNAcentral.
GAUGAACGCUGGCGGCGUGCCUAAUACAUGCCAGUCGAGCGAACAGACGAGGAGCUUGCUCCUCUGACGUUAGCGGCGGACGGGUGAGUAACACGUGGAUAACCUACCUAUAAGACUGGGAUAACUUCGGGAAACCGGAGCUAAUACCGGAUAAUAUAUUGAACCGCAUGGUUCAAUAGUGAAAGACGGUUUUGCUGUCACUUAUAGAUGGAUCCGCGCCGCAUUAGCUAGUUGGUAAGGUAACGGCUUACCAAGGCGACGAUGCGUAGCCGACCUGAGAGGAUGAUCGGCCACACUGGAACUGAGACACGGUCCAGACUCCUACGGGAGGCAGCAGUAGGGAAUAUUCCGCAAUGGGCGAAAGCCUGACGGAGCAACGCCGCGUGAGUGAUGAAGGUCUUCGGAUCGUAAAACUCUGUUAUUAGGGAAGAACAAAUGUGUAAGUAACUAUGCACGUCUUGACGGUACCUAAUCAGAAAGCCACGGCUAACUACGUG